UCGCUAGAUAAUGAAGAGAUGAUCGCCUGCAUCAUGAAUGGUUUAGAUGCAGAUUCUAAUCCCCCUGUAUCUGCUAUUAUAACUAGGACAUAUCCUAUUUAUGUUGCUGAAUUAUACUCACAACUUUUAAGCUUUGAAA
RNAcentral lists this small nucleolar RNA (139 nucleotides) under Setaria italica (foxtail millet). Its description in RNAcentral is "Small nucleolar RNA Z247". It matches the Rfam family "Small nucleolar RNA Z247". Rfam says of the family: Z247 is a member of the C/D class of snoRNA which contain the C (UGAUGA) and D (CUGA) box motifs. Most of the members of the box C/D family function in directing site-specific 2'-O-methylation of substrate RNAs. The record is from Rfam by way of RNAcentral. Lineage: Eukaryota; Viridiplantae; Streptophyta; Magnoliopsida; Poales; Poaceae.